Molecule: long non-coding RNA, 473 nt
Organism: Etheostoma spectabile (orangethroat darter)
Lineage: Eukaryota; Metazoa; Chordata; Actinopteri; Perciformes; Percidae
Exons: 2
Source: RefSeq, a predicted model, not a curated record
CACGGGUCCAAACUUUGUGUGUCCCAACCUCCCACAUGAUGAAAUGAUCCUUUUAAAGCGGGCUCAAUAUGUCUCAAUCUGCACUCCUCUUCCCUCGCUAAAGCUUCUGGGUUCGGGACACAGCCCAGAAAUAUAUUAAUUAAAGCGCACUCCUAUACAGACUUUCAGCACUGGGGAAGAAGUGGCUAGAUCAAGUCAAGCUCUGUCAACGACGGAUGGAUGAAGAUUCACGGCAGGAAAAAAAAAAAGCGAUCAAUGCCGCAGCGCUCUCUCAUUCACCCUGAACUGGUGGUGAACUCCUCCGGAACGCCGCCAGCCUCUCCACCCUAUCCCAUCGCAGUCCGGGGUCACCAGGGGGGCGUCUCUGUGCCAAUAUGCAGAUGAGCCUGUGCCCCUCCAAUGACUCUGGUGUUAAGCUCCACCCCUCUAUAUGUUGGAGCGCCCCCACCCACCCAACAACACUCACACACAGA